AUGAACGCUGGCGGCGUGCCUAAUCCAUGCCAGUCGAGCGAACGGACGAGAAGCUUGCUUCUCUGAUGUUAGCGGCGGACGGGUGAGUAACACGUGGAUAACCUACCUAUAAGACUGGGAUAACUUCGGGAAACCGGAGCUAAUACCGGAUAAUAUUUUGAACCGCAUGGUUCAAAAGUGAAAGACGGUCUUGCUGUCACUUAUAGAUGGAUCCGCGCUGCAUUAGCUAGUUGGUAAGGUAACGGCUUACCAAGGCAACGAUGCAUAGCCGACCUGAGAGGGUGAUCGGCCACACUGGAACUGAGACACGGUCCAGACUCCUACGGGAGGCAGCAGUAGGGAAUCUUCCGCAAUGGGCGAAAGCCUGACGGAGCAACGCCGCGUGAGUGAUGAAGGUCUUCGGAUCGUAAAACUCUGUUAUUAGGGAAGAACACAUGUGUAAGUAACUGUGCACAUCUUGACGGUACCUAAUCAGAAAGCCACGGCUAACUACGUG
RNAcentral lists this ribosomal RNA (496 nucleotides) under uncultured bacterium. RNAcentral describes it as "partial 16S ribosomal RNA". It matches the Rfam family "Bacterial small subunit ribosomal RNA", at positions 29 to 507 of the family's 1533-position model. The record is from RNAcentral.